Long non-coding RNA from Nyctereutes procyonoides (raccoon dog), 726 nucleotides. RefSeq lists it as uncharacterized. NCBI's taxonomy places the organism in Eukaryota, Metazoa, Chordata, Mammalia, Carnivora, Canidae. The record is from RefSeq and is a predicted model, not a curated record. The transcript has 3 exons.
GCCAGAGUCCGCGCUGCGCGCCCGCCGCCGCCCGGAGCCACACGGUGCCGCGCGGCCGCACUUCGGGGCGCGCCCCGGGCCGCGGGCAGAUGAAGAAGCUGAUGUUCCGGUUUCAUUUUCCUUUUAAGGCACUUUAAAGACACCUGUAGUGGGUCAAAUGGUGGCCCCCCAAAAGACAUACCCAUGUCCUAAUCCCAAGAACCUGGGAAUGUUAACUUACUUGGACCAAAGGUCUUUGCAGGUAUCGUUAAGGAUCAUAAGAUGAGGAGAUCAUCCCGAAUUAUCUGGGUGGACCCCAAGUCCAGUGACAGUUGUCUUUAUCCCGGAAAGACAGAGGGUGAUUUGAGACAGAAGAGGAGGAGAAAAAAGGAGAAGCCCAUGUGAAGACAGAGGCAGAGACAGGGCCAUGAGCCAAGAAGUGCCCGGAGCCUCCAGAAGGUGGAAGAGGCACGAAGGAUCCUGCCCCAGAGCCUCGGAAGGGAGUGCAGCCUUGCUGACAUCUGCAUCAUGGACUCUGGCCUGCAGGCUACAAGAGAAUACAUUUCUGCUGUUUUAGGACGUCCAGUCUGUGGUUUGUUACAGCAGCCGCAGGCAAUGAAUAUAGCCCCUAAUUUUUUCCACCCCAGGGAAGGAACCUGAGGUCAGAGAGGUUUAUCCGGGGUGCCAUCCCCCAACUGUCUUUAUACAAUCAGGGCAAGGUCGAGGAGUGGCAACAGAGAUGGUGUG